RNAcentral lists this ribosomal RNA (460 nucleotides) under uncultured bacterium. RNAcentral's name for it is "partial 16S ribosomal RNA". It matches the Rfam family "Bacterial small subunit ribosomal RNA", at positions 338 to 795 of the family's 1533-position model. The record is from RNAcentral.
CCUACGGGAGGCAGCAGUGAGGAAUAUUGGUCAAUGGGCGUAAGUCUGAACCAGCCAUGCCGCGUGCGGGAAGAAGGCUCUAUGGGUUGUAAACUGCUUUUAUACGGGGGUAAAGCUGAAGACGUGUAUUGAGCUGAAAGUACUUUACGAAUAAGGAUCGGCUAACUCCGUGCCAGCAGCCGCGGUAAUACGGAGGAUCCGAGCGUUAUCCGGAUUUAUUGGGUUUAAAGGGUGCGUAGGCGGCCUGAUAAGUUAGAGGUGAAAUGCCGGAGCUUAACUCUGGAACUGCCUUUGAUACUGUUGGGCUUGAGAAUAGAUGAGGCAGGCGGAAUGUAUGGUGUAGCGGUGAAAUGCUUAGAGAUCACACAGAACCCCGAUUGCGAAGGCAGCUUACCAAUCUAUAUCUGACGCUGAUGCACGAAAGCGUGGGGAGCAAACAGGAUUAGAUACCCCAGUAGUC